Molecule: ribosomal RNA, 497 nt
Filed under: uncultured bacterium
Lineage: Bacteria
Description: partial 16S ribosomal RNA
Rfam family: Bacterial small subunit ribosomal RNA
Source: RNAcentral
GAUGAACGCUGGCGGCGUGCCUAAUACAUGCAAGUCGAGCGAACGGACGAGAAGCUUGCUUUUCUGAUGUUAGCGGCGGACGGGUGAGUAACACGUGGAUAACCUACCUAUAAGCCUGGGAUAACUUCGGGAAACCGGAGCUAAUACCGGAUAAUAUUUUGAACCGCAUGGUUCAAAAGUGAAAGACGCACUUGCUGUCACUUAUAGAUGGAUCCGCGCUGCAUUAGCUAGUUGGUAAGGUAACGGCUAACCAAGCGAACGAUGCAUAGCCGACCGGAGAGGGUGAUCGGCCACACUGGAACUGAGAAACGGUCCAGACUCCUACGGGAGGCAGCAGUAGGGAAUCUUCCGCAAUGGGCGAAAGCCUGACGGAGCAACGCCGCGUGAGUGAUGAAGGUCUUCGGAUCGUAAAACUCUGUUAUUAGGGAAGAACAUAUGUGUAAGUAACUGUGCACAUCUUGACGGUACCUAAUCAGAAAGCCACGGCUAACUACGUG